RNAcentral lists this ribosomal RNA (252 nucleotides) under uncultured bacterium. Its description in RNAcentral is "partial 16S ribosomal RNA". It matches the Rfam family "Bacterial small subunit ribosomal RNA", at positions 524 to 776 of the family's 1533-position model. The record is from RNAcentral.
UACGUAGGUCCCGAGCGUUGUCCAGAUUUAUUGGGCGUAAAGCGAGCGCAGGUGGUUUAUUAAGUCCGGUGUAAAAGGCAGUGGCUCAACCAUUGUAUGCAUUGGAAACUGGUAGACUUGAGUGCAGGAGAGGAGAGUGGAAUUCCAUGUGUAGCGGUGAAAUGCGUAGAUAUAUGGAGGAACACCGGUGGCGAAAGCGGCUCUCUGGCCUGUAACUGACACUGAGGCUCGAAAGCGUGGGGAGCAAACAGG